GACGAACGCUGGCGGCGUGCUUAACACAUGCAAGUCGAACGGAAAGGCCCUGCUUUUGUGGGGUGCUCGAGUGGCGAACGGGUGAGUAACACGUGAGUAACCUGCCCUUGACUUUGGGAUAACUUCAGGAAACUGGGGCUAAUACCGGAUAGGAGCUCCUGCUGCAUGGUGGGGGUUGGAAAGUUUCGGCGGUUGGGGAUGGACUCGCGGCUUGUCAGCUUGUUGGUGGGGUAGUGGCUUACCAAGGCUUUGACGGGUAGCCGGCCUGAGAGGGUGACCGGCCACAUUGGGACUGAGAUACGGCCCAGACUCCGACGGGAGGCAGCAGUGGGGAAUAUUGCACAAUGGGCGGAAGCCUGAUGCAGCAACGCCGCGUGCGGGAUGACGGCCUUCGGGUUGUAAACCGCUUUCGCCUGUGACGAAGCGUGAGUGACGGUAAUGGGUAAAGAAGCACCGGCUAACUACGUG
This 468-nucleotide ribosomal RNA is filed under the name uncultured bacterium. RNAcentral describes it as "partial 16S ribosomal RNA". It matches the Rfam family "Bacterial small subunit ribosomal RNA", at positions 28 to 507 of the family's 1533-position model. The record is from RNAcentral.